UACGUAGGGUGCGAGCGUUAAUCGGAAUUACUGGGCGUAAAGCGUGCGCAGGCGGUUCGUUAAGUCAGCUGUGAAAGCCCCGGGCUCAACCUGGGAAUUGCGGUUGAAACUGGCGAACUAGAAUCUGGCAGAGGGGGGUGGAAUUCCACGUGUAGCAGUGAAAUGCGUAGAGAUGUGGAGGAACACCGAUGGCGAAGGCAGCCCCCUGGGCUGAGAUUGACGCUCAGGCUCGAAAGCGUGGGGAGCAAACAGG
This 253-nucleotide ribosomal RNA is filed under the name uncultured bacterium. RNAcentral's name for it is "partial 16S ribosomal RNA". It matches the Rfam family "Bacterial small subunit ribosomal RNA", at positions 524 to 776 of the family's 1533-position model. The record is from RNAcentral.